RNAcentral lists this unclassified non-coding RNA (312 nucleotides) under uncultured fungus. RNAcentral's name for it is "partial contains 5.8S ribosomal RNA and internal transcribed spacer 2". The stretch from base 1 to 133 matches the Rfam family "5.8S ribosomal RNA", at positions 22 to 154 of the family's 154-position model. The record is from RNAcentral. Lineage: Eukaryota; Fungi.
UGGUUCUGGCAUCGAUGAAGAACGCAGCGAAAUGCGAUAAGUAAUGUGAAUUGCAGAAUUCAGUGAAUCAUCGAAUCUUUGAACGCACAUUGCGCCCUCUGGCAUUCCGGGGGGCAUGCCUGUCCGAGCGUCAUUACAACCCUCAAGCUCAGCUUGGUCUUGGGCGUCGCCGCUGUGGCGCGCCUCAAAAUCAGUGGCGGUGCCAUUCGGCUUCAAGCGCAGUACAACUCUCGCCCCGGAGCCCGCGUGCGCACCUGCCAGAACCCCAAUAUUUCGCAGGUUGACCUCGGAUCAGGUAGGGAUACCCGCUGA